This 761-nucleotide ribosomal RNA is filed under the name uncultured Stenotrophomonas sp. Its description in RNAcentral is "bacterial SSU rRNA". It matches the Rfam family "Bacterial small subunit ribosomal RNA", at positions 28 to 776 of the family's 1533-position model. The record is from RNAcentral. Lineage: Bacteria; Pseudomonadati; Pseudomonadota; Gammaproteobacteria; Lysobacterales; Lysobacteraceae.
AGUGAACGCUGGCGGUNGGCCUAACACAUGCAAGUCGAACGGCAGCACAGUAAGAGCUUGCUCUUAUGGGUGGCGAGUGGCGGACGGGUGAGGAAUACAUCGGAAUCUACUCUGUCGUGGGGGAUAACGUAGGGAAACUUACGCUAAUACCGCAUACGACCUACGGGUGAAAGCAGGGGAUCUUCGGACCUUGCGCGAUUGAAUGAGCCGAUGUCGGAUUAGCUAGUUGGCGGGGUAAAGGCCCACCAAGGCGACGAUCCGUAGCUGGUCUGAGAGGAUGAUCAGCCACACUGGAACUGAGACACGGUCCAGACUCCUACGGGAGGCAGCAGUGGGGAAUAUUGGACAAUGGGCGCAAGCCUGAUCCAGCCAUACCGCGUGGGUGAAGAAGGCCUUCGGGUUGUAAAGCCCUUUUGUUGGGAAAGAAAUCCAGCCGGCUAAUACCUGGUUGGGAUGACGGUACCCAAAGAAUAAGCACCGGCUAACUUCGUGCCAGCAGCCGCGGUAAUACGAAGGGUGCAAGCGUUACUCGGAAUUACUGGGCGUAAAGCGUGCGUAGGUGGUCGUUUAAGUCCGUUGUGAAAGCCCUGGGCUCAACCUGGGAACUGCAGUGGAUACUGGACGACUAGAGUGUGGUAGAGGGUAGCGGAAUUCCUGGUGUAGCAGUGAAAUGCGUAGAGAUCAGGAGGAACAUCCAUGGCGAAGGCAGCUACCUGGACCAACACUGACACUGAGGCACGAAAGCGUGGGGAGCAAACAGG